ACAAGAAGGCUAUGUGAUUAGCUUUCAUAAGGACCAUUGUAACAUAUUUUAUGAAAAUAAUAAAGUUACAAAUGAUUUUCUUAUUAACGAUCUCUAUCAGCUAUAUAUUGAUGUAUCUGUAUUUAAAUAUCAAGCAAAAUGUGAAUGCCAUAGGAAUUAAAAGGCCUAGAGAUAGUCUAAAUAAUAGGUAUCUGUGGCACCUAAGGCUAGGUCAUAUAGCGGAAGACAG
This 229-nucleotide long non-coding RNA is filed under the name Elaeis guineensis (African oil palm). RNAcentral's name for it is "long non-coding RNA (EGUI_LNC036895)". The record is from RNAcentral. Lineage: Eukaryota; Viridiplantae; Streptophyta; Magnoliopsida; Arecales; Arecaceae.